GUUCGUUGAGCGCUUAAUUUUCGGCAUUAUUGCCGUAAAGCGGGGGAACCAUCAGAUGGGGCGUAUUCCGUAAAGGAUAGAGCAACUCUUUCAGCUCGAGCCCGUCAGCUAACCUCGUAGGCGUUGAAAGGGAGUGGAA
This 139-nucleotide small RNA is filed under the name Mahella australiensis. RNAcentral's name for it is "c-di-AMP sequence". It matches the Rfam family "c-di-AMP riboswitch aptamer (ydaO/yuaA leader)". Rfam says of the family: This family represents a conserved RNA structure found upstream of the ydaO and yuaA genes in Bacillus subtilis and related genes in other bacteria. The ydaO/yuaA element is thought to act as a genetic "off" switch for the ydaO and yuaA genes in its native state. The record is from RNAcentral. Lineage: Bacteria; Bacillati; Bacillota; Clostridia; Mahellales; Mahellaceae. RNAcentral also lists the same sequence under 1 other name.